This 77-nucleotide non-coding RNA is filed under the name Clostridium sp. The record is from RNAcentral. Lineage: Bacteria; Bacillati; Bacillota; Clostridia; Eubacteriales; Clostridiaceae.
ACAUGACAAUAUAAGGAAAGAGAUGUGAAAAUCGUCCACUGAUUCACAACCGUUAUAGUCGGAAUACUUAAUUGGGG